ACAAAGUACCUACUAAGCCGGGAGCCGCAUCGUUGAACUCGUUAACGUUGGCGACCUAAGUGCGCAUAAAUUCAACAAAAAAAUCUUAAUAAAUCUGCAUUUAAUUCCUUUUGAAGGUAACAAAACAUUGGGGACAUUCGACAUAGGUCCUCUGUCCAAUACUUUCCGCUUCAUAACUACUUAUUGAAACACUGAAGCUAAAUUAGGAUAUUAUUAAUAUUAAUCUAUUUCUAUAAUGGUGCCAUUAUAAGUGCCAUAAAGUUACUUUUCUGGUCAAGUUACGCCAAACGCAAAAAAUAUGAUAUUAUGAACACUAUUACUCAUCAAAUUAAAUUAGUAUUGGUACGUAAUGUCAAACAGGUACAAUCACUAUACUCUACCUCUUAUGUUGUUAUCAGUGUUGUCACUGUCCGAAUUUUAUUUUGUAGGUUAUAAUUGCAUUUAUUAGAGUUAUUAUAUUUAAGUUUAUUGUCAAUUAGGAAAUAAUUUCAACAUAAUAUUAUAUUAUAUUUUAAAAUGUAUCCUCAAUUAUAUUAUAUAUAUUUUUUAUGUGCCAUAUUAAAUUAGGUAAGCAAAAGUUCCUAGAAUUUACUAAUUUUUAAGUAAUAAACGUAUCAAAUACUAGGUACUUGUGUUUUAAUCAGAACCAUACCGAUUAUCUGUCAUUUGCGACGUUUAUUUUAAUUUAGUAUUUUUUUAGUUUUACAAAUUUUCAGUGGUAUGUGCUGUUGCGAUCAAAAUGGGAAAAACAAUUAUGUCCCCAAAAAAAUACUUCAGAAGGCGAAUCACAAAGAUACUGGUGAUGUUAUGGUCGACAAGAUUAGUUUAGAUAUCAAGGAACACUACCGUGAGCUGACACGCUGUGUAACCGCGGUAAACAAGAUGGUGGACACGCUGUCCAAUCAGAUGUCCUGGCCGCCCGUCCGCUGUGAACACGAGAGGUGCGAAUUGGAAUGCUGCUACGAAACCCAGGAACGUUCAGGCAACUGCUCUAACGUCGUCAAGAAAUACGUGGAUUGUGUGCGCAAUGUACUCUUCUUGAGAAUUAGAUGCAAUUGAUACUUGUAGUACCGUUUUUUUUUUAAUUUAUGUGAAAUAUAUUUUUUGCCCACGU
Long non-coding RNA from Cydia splendana, 1114 nucleotides. RefSeq lists it as uncharacterized. The transcript has 2 exons. The record is from RefSeq and is a predicted model, not a curated record. Lineage: Eukaryota; Metazoa; Arthropoda; Insecta; Lepidoptera; Tortricidae.